Aedes albopictus (Asian tiger mosquito) is the source of this 58-nucleotide non-coding RNA. The record is from Rfam. Lineage: Eukaryota; Metazoa; Arthropoda; Insecta; Diptera; Culicidae.
UAGCCUAGUGGUUAAGGCAAUGGAUAGCCAAUCCGGAGACGGCGGGUUCGAUUCCCGU